Molecule: long non-coding RNA, 1679 nt
Filed under: Physcomitrium patens
Lineage: Eukaryota; Viridiplantae; Streptophyta; Bryopsida; Funariales; Funariaceae
Description: long non-coding RNA (PPAT_LNC002808)
Source: RNAcentral
UAAUGAUGUGCUUCAUACCAGUGGUAUCUAGCAUCUUUACUUUAUACAAAUAAAAACAAUUAUAUACAUGUUUUAACGAUAAGAAAAAGUCUUAAGUUAAUGUUGAAUCCAUGUGGUUGGUGCAAACUCUAAGAGUUAGUUAUCAUGUUGCAUUACUGCCUACCACCACACACUAUAGGUUAUCAUUAUGCACCAUUUAAACACAACUCUAGCCUUCUUCUUUGCCAUGCCUACCAUCUCUUACACCAAUCCCAUCUUCUGCAUCAACAGCAAAGUAAGUUUUCAUAAAUAAUUUUAUUUAAACUAUAACUUGUUUUUUUUAAUCAAUAAAUUACUUAGAAAAAUAUUAUAUUGAAUAAAUUCAUCAUUUAGAAUAAUACAUGAUUUUUAGAUUUGUUAUCAAGUUUUACACACUGCAAAAAAAAUCAAUGAAUCUUCAAAAAAUGGAACUUAAAAAAUGCGUAACAUAUCAUUUCCAAUACCAUCAAUGCAUUUGAUAUGAUUUUUAUGUUUUAGGGAAUGACGUCUUCGUUUGAAGCAGUGAAUUAAUUCAACAUUUCACUACCAACCAAUCAAAAUUAAAAUAUCCAACAAAUAAAUAAGUACAACGUGUCAUGCUGACAUUUUCAUUUUCUAACAUGGUAGCAGCAGGUAAACAGAUAUCGAAGAUAUACCAAUCUGAUCAGUCGUUUCGGCGAAUCUUACGGAACUUAAUUUUGGAGACGUUUGCGGAAUAAGACUUGUCUGCUCACACAUUACAAAUUGCACUAAUGCAUCUCUGGCACUACGAGUUUCAAGUGUACGACGUGGAAUCCUCGUCUAUGGGUGACAGAUACAUGAGACCUAUUCUACAGUAGAACCUGUCUAAUUGCAUAGAGCUGGGACACGGAGGCGGUUCUGCAUUUAAUCAGGUAAUGCAUUAACAACACAGGUUAUGCAUUAACUAUUAACUACAGGCCCGACAUCGGCCCGGCGGAUUCUCAUGCAUUCAGAGAGGUGAUGCAUUUACACAGUAUGAAAUUGAACAGUUUCUACUGUAUAAGCAGUUAAGACGUCUGUUGAUAAAAAAUGAGAAAUAAAAAAACAAAACUUCGAAGGCAAUCGUACCUAAUUUACUGCAGUCGAAUCUGAUGCGAACGAAGCUUCAAAUCGAUUGCUAGUGAAGUGGACUGAACCUUGAUGAAGCGUCAAUUGUCAUGGAUUAACUGACAGCAAAUGAGAUACUCUAAUCGAUGUCGAUAACUGAAACUGAAAUAUAUUGGAGGUUUACGGAGGUGUAUCUUGCUUGAUAUUCACUAGCUACAGAAUAGUUAAGUGAGAUAAGCACCUUACAAACCUUCAAGUCUUGAGAAUUCUAGCAUCCGCCCUGCGUUAUCACCAGGGACGAAAGAAUGAGUAAACCCCCUGCAGAUGAUCUUUCUCGCUGGACUGUACCCACAACCGUCUUCUCACAAACGACCCCGGCAAAGAACUGGGAACCAUAGAUCACUACCCAAGUGAUCAGUCCCGCGACUCACUCAGGGAUGUGAAGCAUAUCUCAGUCAGACUCAGCGCUCCAGCGACACACCUUGGCCGUGACACCAGAAAACGACACCGGCUGUUUUGUCAGCGACGCUGACUCAAAACUUGACAGAGAAAGGCAAUCCACCCACUGUCACAAGAAAUGUGUUGUAAAGAAG